RNAcentral lists this ribosomal RNA (467 nucleotides) under uncultured bacterium. RNAcentral's name for it is "partial 16S ribosomal RNA". It matches the Rfam family "Bacterial small subunit ribosomal RNA", at positions 29 to 507 of the family's 1533-position model. The record is from RNAcentral.
ACGAACGCUGGCGGCGUGCUUAACACAUGCAAGUCGAACGGAAAGGCCCUGCUUUUGUGGGGUGCUCGAGUGGCGAACGGGUGAGUAACACGUGAGUAACCUGCCCUUGACUUUGGGAUAACUUCAGGAAACUGGGGCUAAUACCGGAUAGGAGCUCUUGCUGCAUGGUGGGGGUUGGAAAGUUUCGGCGGUUGGGGAUGGACUCGCGGCUUAUCAGCUUGUUGGUGGGGUAGUGGCUUACCAAGGCUUUGACGGGUAGCCGGCCUGAGAGGGUGACCGGCCACAUUGGGACUGAGAUACGGCCCAGACUCCUACGGGAGGCAGCAGUGGGGAAUAUUGCACAAUGGGCGGAAGCCUGAUGCAGCAACGCCGCGUGCGGGAUGACGGCCUUCGGGUUGUAAACCGCUUUCGCCUGUGACGAAGCGUGAGUGACGGUAAUGGGUAAAGAAGCACCGGCUAACUACGUG